CUCCGAUGAUGCUUUCCUCCUGAUAGUCAACACUGCACGCGUUAAAACACGCAACGUCCGGUGAUGGACUUCAAAAUAAAAGCCGCCCAGAAAUCUGAGGUAAAGUUCAUCUGAUGUUUCAGCACCAGAAACGUGUGACAGCAUUUUAGGGAAUAAAGGGAGUAAAUUUGCACCAAAACCCUCAAACUUUCCAGGAGGAAAAGAUGGUAGAUUUCUGAGUGACAAAAUCUCAGAAAUUUUCUAGAAAAAAAAGUUUCCAGGUUUCAAAAGUCAAACAUUUUCAGCGUUUAGAUAUUUUCUCAGGUCCAAAAGUUAAACAUUUGCAAGAAAAAAAACCCUCCAAUUUUGAGAUUAGUCAAAAUUUGACAUUUGGAAAGUAAUGAGUUUCAAAAGUUGAAAUAUUUUGACUCUUGAAAUCCAGAAAUGUCGAUGUUUUUUCUGAGAAUUGAGUUUUUUGUGGAAAUAUACUCCUUUUAUCAUCCUCGUCUAUAACGCCCUGAUACAUCGUCAGUUCUGUAGUCUAGUUAAAGUUAUAAAGAUAAAGAUCUUUGAAAUUUGUUCCACUUAUGGCACAAAAGCAAAAAAUAUAUAAUUUCAGACAUAAAACACAAACUGUAUCUGAUUCAGAUUUAUCUUCAACCCAAUUACAAAAUGUUCAAUGUAAACAAGUUUGAUCAAAUAAAAAAACUGUUCUAGACAGUUAACAGAUUCUAAAGGUUUUCUGUUUGUUCACAAUUAGUUUAAUAAAAGGGAAAUAAAAACGUAAAAUCUCAUGAAGCAGUUUAACACGAUUCAAGGCUUUUAUUGUGAAAGCAAAGCCACCAGUUUCCUGUGUGUUAAAUAAUAAAACCUUCAGACAUCAAAGAUCCCGUUAAACAUGUCAGACCUUAAAUUUCCGGUCUGACUUCAAAAUAAAAGCAGGACAUUAAAGGAUCCCUUCAAAAUAAAUAAACCUGUUUUCUGAAAGUUAAA
Xiphophorus couchianus (Monterrey platyfish) is the source of this 972-nucleotide long non-coding RNA. RefSeq lists it as uncharacterized. Lineage: Eukaryota; Metazoa; Chordata; Actinopteri; Cyprinodontiformes; Poeciliidae. The record is from RefSeq and is a predicted model, not a curated record. The transcript has 2 exons.